This 345-nucleotide unclassified non-coding RNA is filed under the name soil metagenome. RNAcentral's name for it is "partial contains 5.8S ribosomal RNA, internal transcribed spacer 2, and large subunit ribosomal RNA". The stretch from base 1 to 120 matches the Rfam family "5.8S ribosomal RNA", at positions 35 to 154 of the family's 154-position model. The record is from RNAcentral.
GAUGAAGAACGCAGCGAAAUGCGAUACGUAAUGUGAAUUGCAGAAUUCAGUGAAUCAUUGAGUCUUUGAACGCACAUUGCGCCCCCUGGUAUUCCGGGGGGCAUGCCUGUCCGAGCGUCAUUGCUGCCCUCAAGCACGGCUUGUGUGUUGGGCCUCCGUCCUCCUCCCGGGGGACGGGCCCGAAAGGCAGCGGCGGCACCGCGUCCGGUCCUCGAGCGUAUGGGGCUUCGUCACCCGCUCUUGUAGGCCCGGCCGGCGCUUGCCGACACAUCAAUCUUUUUUCCAGGUUGACCUCGGAUCAGGUAGGGAUACCCGCUGAACUUAAGCAUAUCAAUAAGCGGAGGA